This 402-nucleotide ribosomal RNA is filed under the name uncultured Nocardioides sp. RNAcentral describes it as "bacterial SSU rRNA". It matches the Rfam family "Bacterial small subunit ribosomal RNA", at positions 987 to 1394 of the family's 1533-position model. Lineage: Bacteria; Bacillati; Actinomycetota; Actinomycetes; Propionibacteriales; Nocardioidaceae. The record is from RNAcentral.
GAUGCCGGAAGCGCGAGAUGGUGCCCCUUUUUGUCGGUAUACAGGUGGUGCAUGGCUGUCGUCAGCUCGUGUCGUGAGAUGUUGGGUUAAGUCCCCCAACGAGCGCAACCCUCGUCUUAUGUUGCCAGCACGUUAUGGUGGGGACUCAUAAGAGACUGCCGGGGUCAACUCGGAGGAAGGUGGGGAUGACAUCAAGUCAUCAUGCCCCUUAUGUCCAGGGCUUCACGCAUGCUACAAUGGCCGGUACAAAGGGCUGCGAUGCUGUAAGGCGGAGCGAAUCCCAAAAAGCCGGUCUCACUUCGGAUUGGGGUCUGCAACUCGACCCCAUGAAGUCGGAGUCUCUAGUAAUCUCAGAUCAGCAACGCUGCGGUGAAUACGUUCCCGGGCCUUGUACACACCGCG